Molecule: ribosomal RNA, 381 nt
Filed under: uncultured eukaryote
Lineage: Eukaryota
Description: SSU rRNA
Rfam family: Eukaryotic small subunit ribosomal RNA
Source: RNAcentral
AGCUCCAAUAGCGUAUAUUAAAGUUGUUGCGGUUAAAAAGCUCGUAGUUGGAUUUCUGCUUGUCAUCGGCCGGUAUGUGCUUUGCACGUUAUUUGGAUCGGUGCGGGCAUCCUCGUGGGGUGCGUCUCUGUUCUUAACUGCAGCAGGGCGUGAUUCACGACUUUUACUUUGAGGAAAUUAGAGUGUUCACGGCAAGCAAUUGCUUGAAUACAUUAGCAUGGAAUAAUAAUAUAGGACUUUGGUUCUAUUUUGUUGGUUUCUAGGACUAAGGUAAUGAUUAAUAGGGACAAUUGGGGGCAUUCGUAUUGACGCGUCAGAGGUGGAAUUCUUAGAUUGCGUCACGACGAACUACUGCGAAAGCAUUUGCCAAGGAUGUUUUCA